GACGAACGCUGGCGGCGUGCCUAACACAUGCAAGUCGAGCGGGGUGCAGCAAUGCACCUAGCGGCGGACGGGUGAGUAACACGUGGGUAACCUGCCCUAUACAGAGGGAUAGCCAUCCGAAAGGAUGAUUAAUACCUCAUAAAGAAUAACUGCCGCAUGGCAGAUAUUCCAAAGGAGUAACAUCCGGUAUAGGAUGGACCCGCGGCCCAUUAGCUAGUUGGUGAGAUAACAGCCCACCAAGGCAACGAUGGGUAGCCGAUCUGAGAGGAUGACCGGCCACAUUGGAACUGAGAUACGGUCCAGACUCCUACGGGAGGCAGCAGUGGGGAAUAUUGCGCAAUGGGGGAAACCCUGACGCAGCAACGCCGCGUGAGUGAUGAAGGCCUUCGGGUCGUAAAGCUCUGUCUUCGCUGACGAUAAUGACGGUAAGCGAGGAGGAAGCCACGGCUAACUACGUGCCAGCAGCCGCGGUAAUACGUAGGUGGCGAGCGUUGUCCGGAAUUACUGGGCGUAAAGGGUGCGUAGGUGGACUAUUAAGUCAGAUGUGAAAUUCCAGGGCUUAACCUUGGAACUGCAUUUGAAACUGGUAGUCUAGGGUGCAGGAGAGGAAAGCGGAAUUCCUAGUGUAGCGGUGAAAUGCGUAGAUAUUAGGAAGAACACCAGUGGCGAAGGCGGCUUUCUGGACUGUAACUGACACUGAGGCACGAAAGCGUGGGGAGCAAACAGGAUUAGAUACCCUGGUAGUCCACGCUGUAAACGAUGAGUGCUAGGUGUAGGGGGUGUCAUGCCUUCUGUGCCGCAGUAAACGCAAUAAGCACUCCGCCUGGGGAGUACGGUCGCAAGACUAAAACUCAAAGGAAUUGACGGGGGCCCGCACAAGCAGCGGAGCAUGUGGUUUAAUUCGAAGCAACGCGAAGAACCUUACCAGGACUUGACAUCUACCUAAUACUGCAGAGAUGCGGUAGUGCCUUUCGGGGAAAGGUAAGACAGGUGGUGCAUGGUUGUCGUCAGCUCGUGUCGUGAGAUGUUGGGUUAAGUCCCGCAACGAGCGCAACCCUUGUCAUUAGUUGCUAACAGUAAGAUGAGCACUCUAAUGAAACUGCCGGGGACAACUCGGAGGAAGGUGGGGAUGACGUCAAAUCAUCAUGCCCCUUAUGUCCUGGGCUACACACGUGCUACAAUGGCUGUAACAAAGAGAAGCGAACUCGCAAGGGGGAGCAAAUCUUAGAAAAGCAGUCCCAGUUCGGAUUGCAGGCUGAAACUCGCCUGCAUGAAGAUGGAGUUGCUAGUAAUCGCGAAUCAGCAUGUCGCGGUGAAUACGUUCCCGGGCCUUGUACACACCGCCCGUCAAACCAUGGGAGUUGAGGGUACCUGAAGUAUGUGACCGCAAGGAGCGUCCUAGGGUAAAAUCAAUGACUGGGGU
This 1423-nucleotide ribosomal RNA is filed under the name uncultured Eubacteriales bacterium. Its description in RNAcentral is "bacterial SSU rRNA". It matches the Rfam family "Bacterial small subunit ribosomal RNA". Lineage: Bacteria; Bacillati; Bacillota; Clostridia; Eubacteriales. The record is from RNAcentral.